This 2257-nucleotide long non-coding RNA is filed under the name Malus domestica (apple). RNAcentral's name for it is "long non-coding RNA (MDOM_LNC008696)". The record is from RNAcentral. Lineage: Eukaryota; Viridiplantae; Streptophyta; Magnoliopsida; Rosales; Rosaceae.
GGUACCAUGAAUUGAUUUUGCUUCACACUAUCUUGAUCAAGAUAGUGUGAAGCUUUUGAGAAUUUGUAGUUGUCCUCCAUUGAUGAAGCUUUUGUUGGUGAAGCUUUGUUGGGUAUCUUGAUCAAGAUAGUGUGAAGCUUUUGAGAAUUUGUAGUUGUCCUCCAUUGAUGAAGCUCUUGUGGUGAAACUUUGUUGAAUUUCCCAAUUUCCUUUCUUUUUUUUUCUUCUUUUUUUUUCGGGAAAAUUAGAAAUUUGAAAAUGUGGGAGAGACAACAUAUACAAAUUUUGCUUCCACACUGUUGAGCAAGAGAUUGUGAUGCAAGCCACACCUUGUAGUAGUCGAAGGUUUGGAUAAACCAUAUAAAUUGAAUUUGCUUCGAACAGUCUUGAUCAAGAGUGUGUGAAGCUUUUGAGAAUUGUGGUUGAACUCCUUUGAUGAGGCUUUUGUUGGCACCAUAAAUUGGUUUUGCUUCACACUAUCUUGAUCAAGAGUGUGUGAAGCUUUUGAGAAUUGUGGUUGCCCUCCAUUGAUGAAGCUCUUGUUGGCACCACAAAAUUGGUUUUACUUCACACUGUCUUGAUCAAGAGUGUGCGAAGCUUUUGAGAAUUGUGGUUGCCCUCCAUUGAUGAAGCUCUUGUUGGCGCCAUAAAUUGGUUUUGCUUCACACUGUCUUGAUCAAGAGUGUGAAGCUUUUGAGAAUUGUGGUUGCCCUCCAUUGAUGAAGCUCUUGUUAGCACCAUAAAUUGGUUUUGCUUCACAUUGUCUUGAUCAAGAGUGUGUGAAGCUUUCUACGAGUUGUAGUGUUUGCAUUAUUACAGAGGGGAAAUGUCUGAAGCAGAUGUAAGAGGGUUGAAUAGCUUGAUCUUCGUAUGCCAUGCACUGAAGUUGUUGUUGGCUUGCAAUAAGACUUUGUUGGUAACUAUAACUCUUGUUGGGCAUAAGUGCUCCCCUAGUUGAGUUGUCAAGUUUGAGGGCAUGAAGGAAAGUACAGGUUGUACAUUUCAUCACCUGGUUGGUGGCAUAAAGAUGAGUUCCUUCUUCAUCUGGUUGGUGGCAUGAGUGGCAAGUUGCCAAAUGAUAUUAGAGUACGGGUUGUACAUUUCAUCACCUGGUUGGUGGCUUGAAGGAGAGUACGGGUUGUACAUUUCAUCACCUGGUUGGUGGCAUGAAGAUGAGUUCCUUCUUCACCUGGUUGGUGGCAUGAGUGGCAAGUUGCCAAAUGAUAUUAGAGUACGGGUGUACAUUUCAUCACCUGGUUGGUGGCAUGAAGAAGAGUAUGGGUUGUACAUUUCAUCACAUGGUUGGUGGCAUGAAGAUGACUUCCUUCUUCACAUUUCAUCACCUGGUUGGUGAGAAUAACGAUAAGGUGUCGAGGCACAUUGUAGCAAGUGUCGAAGACACAAAGUAUGUUGAACCAUUUCGAAACACAUUUGGCUUAUGUAUAGAUGUGUUGGAAUGUAUGAUGUUUAUGUAUGAAUGUGUUGGAAUGUAUGAUGUUUAUGUAUGAAUGUGUUGGAAUGUAUAAUGUUUAUGUUGAUUGAUAUAAGUGAUGCUUAUGAAUGUUUUGCUAUGCAUGAAGGGAUCCAUGUUUUUGAUAUGUGAACCAUGUUGGUUGUAACACUUAGUAUCACAUACUUUGUGUCAAAGUACACAUGUUGAAGCUCUGAGUUGGAGUAUAAGGGUAGGUCAGCGUAGACCAAGUGUUCCAGUGCUAGGAACGCAAAAGACUCAGAAGAAGUUGUCUGAAUUCCCUCUUCUUUAAAUAUUUGUCGAAUUGCUUGUGUGACAAAAGAUCUUAAGCGGUUGAGAGUCAAAACAUUUGUAAUGUGUAUGCCUUCUUAUAAUAGCAUUUCCUUCAAUACCUAGUCUUCCACUUUGAAAGAGUGAAGCUUGGCCCCAUAGUUAUAAUAGUUGACGAUACGUUCACCCCUGGUUGUCUUGAUACGAACUUUUAUCCCUUUUAUUGUAAUGGGCUUGCUGAGAGUAAAAAUAUUUCCUCUUACCAAGAAACAAAUACGUUUGGUGACUUAGCGAGUAGCUAAAUGAGGCAGGAGAUGAUGCAAUGGGUGUCUGAAUGGCCAAUAUCUCCUCACUUGGUAGAACUUGACUUCCAUUUCCCAUUUGUUGAUAGGGGUUAACCAUAUGCGGGUUCCCUUGGUAUGUCCUUGCUUUGGCGGAGGCGUGGUUGUAAGCUUGUGCCAUCACCUCAGAGUAAGUCUUCCAAGUGUUGGCAUUGAUCAUGUACUUGAAGAAACA